GGCCCUGUAGUUCAACGGAUAGAACGGAAGUUUCCUAAACUUUAAAUACAGGUUCGAUUCCUGUCGGGGCUACAA
This 75-nucleotide transfer RNA is filed under the name Bacteroidales bacterium. RNAcentral's name for it is "tRNA-Arg". It matches the Rfam family "tRNA". From Rfam's summary of the family: Transfer RNA (tRNA) molecules are approximately 80 nucleotides in length. The record is from RNAcentral. Lineage: Bacteria; Pseudomonadati; Bacteroidota; Bacteroidia; Bacteroidales.